CGCUUGCCUUCACCACAGGCAACCCAAAAUAGCUUGGAAAAAGUAUCGCUCAAGUCCAACCGUUGAUCUCUUUAACCACAAAAUAGUCAGAGCCGUUGGAUUAUCCUAAUUCUAUUCCAAAAAUAUCUAGCACCUCCAUUUAUAACUCUUGUGGGCUGUUGCGAGCCACGUUCUUCGUAUCUGCUUAACUGUCGUCGUAGCCUCUCUCGAUUCCGUCGAAUUCUUCAGAUCGUUUGACGAAAUUUGCUUUUUUAUCAUGGCUUUUCCCUGCUUUGCUGAAAUUUGUGAUUACUUCCCUUCGUCACUUGUUCGUCGCUCACGCUAGUGUAAGAAUCGAUUUCUUCUCAGAGAUCUAACGAGGCUCUUUUUGAUCUAGCCGAGUUUAAUUCAAUUCCUCUCUGAAGGGGCUAAUUUAUCCUCUUGUCGACCUCGGAAAUCUGCCUUUGUAUCUAUAUCUGAGAUCUGGGAACAUCUUUCAGAUCGGUUUUAAGAAUCUGAAAUUGUCCAAUUGAUUUAUGGAUCAAAUUUUGUAAAUUGUGGCAUGCUGCGAUCUGCUUUGUAGUUGAACGACGGUUGUGGCGGUGAACUGGUGUUUAGUCGGAAGAACAAGCUGCAAAAGAUUGGACUGGAUAUUUUGUGAGCUUUUGAUUUAUUAUGUGAUUUAACUUUGUUGUGUUAUAUCGAUCUCCUUAUUGUAGAUUGAUGAGGUAUUCAUUGUUAUAUCGAUCUUCUUAAUUGUAGUAUGAUGAACUAGUCAUCUCUAUGAGUUGAAAGAAUCGAGGGUGUGAAAAAUCGUUGCUGAGAAGACGUAAGAGAGGUGAAAAAAUUGUGAGGGAAAAGAAACAGAGUGAUUGUUUUUGGUGUUAUCUGACCUUUGCCAUGACAGGUGCGCUUGCAUGGCAGGUCAAAAAUCCUAAUAAAUUUUUAUUUUUUUUUGGUUUUUCUAGGGGGGAGAUGGCACGAGAGAUAUUUUAUUCAUUUUUUCCCCGGCUCUCCCCCCUGUGUGUCUCGGCUCUAUUGCCUUUUUGCUUAAUUUUUUCCUGCAUCUCUGAUUGCCUAUUUGUGAUUCAUUGCUUUGCGCAAAUCAUGCAACACUACUUCAUAUCAAAGCAUGCCCAUUUGAUAGACUGAAGCUGAAUUUGAUUCUUGACAGAAUAUGUGGUCAUCAAUGAUUGUGAUUGCAACUAAUAAGGUGUAUUCUGUCAUUGCAGUUUCAACCUAAAUGGUUCAAUUCUUCACUUAUAUGUUAGUUAAUUCUGUUAUAACAACACUAUCCCUAACUUCUGAAGCCUGGUUUUGAUUUGAUUUUAUUUCUCCAUAUGACAAUUGGGUUUAAUCUAAGUUUGUUUUUAGUUCUCUUAGUCUCAUUGCUAGCUUGUUAUAUAUGUCACGUGCUCUUAUUUGUGUGAUUGGUUAUCAAAAGUUAAAUAACUUGAACAUGCCCAUCCAUUUGAUAAAAUGAAAUCAAUUAUUGGUACUGUAUUGUUACAUCUAGGUUUAUGUAUUGAACCAGUCUGUACUGGCCAUUUUGGUUCUUGUAGUACAAGAUUUUUUCUUGUAUUUUUUUAUAAAUUUUCAUUUUUUAUUCUUUUAAUCAAUUCCUAAUUUUUUGUGAUCAUUUUUAUAUUUUCAUGGUUUCAUUUAAAAAUAUAUAUGUUCAUUAAAGUAAGCUAUUGAACAAUAACUUGCUAUAUUUUCAUAAUAUUUUAUAUUUAUUUCAUUUAUUCGAGGGUUGAAAAUUUAGAUAUUAAAUAUUUACUAAUUUUUAAACAUAUAGAUUCAGUAAUUGAGGUGUAUUUGUAUGUGUAUAUAUUUUAUAGACAAAAUACUAGAUAAUGCUGAUAAACUUGAAAUGGUACGUUGAAACACACUGGUAUCGGAGCACACAGUACCAAAACAAAAAUUAUACACCCAUUGGUAAGGUACUGAUUAUUUUGAUAUAGAUUUUACUCAGCCUUUGGUUGCUGCUUUUUGAUUCAAUAUGAGCUUAACUGGUAUUUGAUUAAUGGCCCAUGGAUCUUAUUCCUCUAUUGGAGAAUUUGUUGUAAUUUGUAUCAAGUGCUGAUUGGUGUAUUGUAAUUUGUGUGGAGGGUUGGGUUCUUUGGUAUAAUUAUCUACUAAUUCACCAAAUAAGUCAUGUGUUUCGUUGACCCAAGUGAUGACAUUCUUUCCAUCUGAGGUUGAUAUCAAGAUGUUAUCUAUAGCAACUGUGUAUUGAUGGUGAAGCAGCUUAAAAGUUUUUUUGGAGUCUCAUAUUUUCUAAUACUCCGAGGAAGGACUAUAUGCUGGACUCUUUUGGAAUUCCCUCCUUUAGAAAGCUUUAGUUGGUCAUGGAGCACCCUAUUCAGGAGCAUUUGCCGGCAAAGAAAUCUUGGUUCAAAUACUUCUAUAUGCGGUGAUAAGGGUGAAAAACAGAGUAAGAAGAAAGGAUUAAUUUAUAUAUUUCCUUGCGGAAUGUUGAAAUUACAGUUGACACGUGGCAGGAUUAAACCCGUUUGUGGAGUUAUAAGAAGUUUUGAAAGAUGUUCAUCUUCUCUUCCAAAAAAUUUGGUGUAGGCCUGAUGCGAGGGAUGAAGAGGCUGCAAAGUUUGGAUGUACGCUGGUGAAUCCGAAUCCUUUGGGCCUUAUAGCUCUUUUGGGCUCAAGUUUUGGGCUAGACCGUCCUGAUGGAAAUAGAACCGUGCAUGUGAUGCGGAUCCGUUAGCACAAAAUUGGUAGGGCGCUCAAACAUUAAGGUUUGGGAGGCUGGUGGUUCGAAACUAGCUGAAUCCUUGAUCGUUUGAACUUUUUAACUCUCAUGGUCAUUAUUGUUAACAACAUAUCCGUGCAGAUAAGCCAAUGAGGUUUUUGUUUAGUUGCAAGGAAGUUGUUUGGGAACUAAAAGUUUUAUUGUGGUUUGGAGGAUAUGUAUGUGAAGCCCAAUGGACAACGGUGAUAUUCAAGCAAGCUGACUGCAAUAAUACUUUGGUGUGGCUUUGGGGAUCUGGAGAAGCAACUGUUUCGAGUGUUAUUGGCAGCAGAUUUCAUUGGUAACAUGCACCAUGGAUAGUUUUCUGUGAAAUGAAUGAUUGCAACGACUUUCAGAAUUUUGGCUACCAAGGGACUUCUAGAAUGGCAUGGAAAAUCAAUGAGAAAGGACAAAAGAAAUAGAGAUGAGAAAAGGGGUCGCGGCAUGCCACAUAUUUAUGGGUGCUUCGCAUAGGAGCAGCUGCCGACAGCCCAGCACUACUUCGGGAUGGCUGAUGUCUGAGAGCAUGAGUCUUACGGUGGCCGACAGUCCGCGAGUUCUAUUCUCAUUUCGCUUUCACCCCUGGUUUUUAUUUUCUCAAUUUGUCCCUUAUAAUGGUUGACUUGUUUUCUUUAUAAUUUUUUUUUUUUUUUUUGGAAACAGAAAAGCUUGUUAGUAUAUUACGACUAGCUUUUAUUGAUUUUUAUAAUA
This is an RNA transcript of Durio zibethinus, 3439 nucleotides long. RefSeq lists it as uncharacterized. Lineage: Eukaryota; Viridiplantae; Streptophyta; Magnoliopsida; Malvales; Malvaceae. The record is from RefSeq and is a predicted model, not a curated record.